AUUCAGGAGAGCAGAAACGUCACGUGUAUCUGGGCAGACGUGAAACAAACAGGAAGUCACAAACUGUCACAGGAGGAUAUUUGCUCUCAGGGUUUUGCACAUUUGAUUUUAUUGUUGUUUUUAUGACUUUUUAUUUCCUGUUUCCCCUCGCGCCUGUGGCAGAGUUUAUCCACUGAGCCCGGAGGCACGAGAGGAGCGGGUGUAAGGCCAGGGAGAACCGGCUGGAUGGUCCGGACCAGGCAGGAGCAGCGUCUGCAUCAAAUCUGCUCAAAGACUUUCAGACUGAAACUGCAGCCGCCGUCCUAAACGUGGAGCUGUUCCAACUCUGUUCACAUGGAAUAACUUUACUGAACCAGAGAGUCUGUGUCUGCCAUGGAAAAGGCUCAGAAACGAGCUCGUCCUCUCACAGCAAACGAGUCAGGCUGAAGCUGCUCCUGCUCCCACAAACCAUCCAGGUGCACUUGAUGAAGCCCUUAAAUACCAAGGCGUUGGAAGCCAGGCUGGAGAAAGUGACUUUGUGUCCGCUCUUUAGUCGCUGCUGCGCCUCGGACGAUCUGCAAAUGUCAGAGCAAGAGAAACAAACCUGUAGAGAAAAUAAGUUCCAUUUGCACAAUGACAGAACGCUAACAGGAAGUGACCGUUUUUCGGGGUUCGUGAAAAAGGUCUAUUUAAUGUUUUGAACAGCAUAAAACUGAUUAUACGCCCCAUAGUCUUAAGUGUUUUAGCUUAUGUUUAUCUUAACUCUGUGUUAUAUGUUUUAUGUCGCACGUUUGCACUGAGAAAAAUUCCUAGUUUGUGAACCUGUUCUCAAACCAUGGCAAUAAAACCUAUUCUGAUUCUGAUUCUGAAAUCAGACGAACAAAAAUACAUUCACACGUUGAGUGACGACACGCCCCCCUGGAGGGCAAAAGGAAAGCGCAUGCCAAAGUGCUACAAUAAUUAGCUAACAACGUUUGACAACGCAGCACAACAAAACAAUCCAGUAAUCAGUAUGGCGAACACAUGGAGCAUUAUCGGCAGCACAAACAGGCGAAGGAAAGAGUGAUAUCACCACUUCAAAACCGUGGGAGCAAAAAUAUUACGAUUGAAUUUGCUCUGUUCACUUCAUUGGAGGUAAGUAAAUGAAGAGGUAGCCUAAUUUUGUUUGUGUGAAUGUGUUUAUGUAAUUUUGUCAUGUAUUUACAUCAUACCAUUGUGCAAACCUAAUACUAAUCUGAAGCUAACAAAUUAGCAAAGACUUUGAUGCUUGUAUUUAUUGUCAAACCUUUUAAACGAUGCAUUAUAUAUCACAUAUUACAUUAUACCGGUUUAUUUCCUUUUAAUAAGUCCAUGCUGGGCAUUGGUGGAGCUUUGGGACUACAACAUGUGUAAUAGCUUUGUGAUUCUUUUCAGGUAAACCAUGUGACGAUCCUGGAAGUCCGAGCUACAGUCCCUCCAUAUUCAGCUUCACAUCACAGGCCGAACAGUCCAGACGUGUUGAAGAUCGAUAUGAACGGCUUAGAAAACGUCAAACACCUGUUGAGUCCAUAAAUGAAGAUGUGCAGCAGAUGCACUUCUGUCACCGAGGUCAAAUCUGAC
RNAcentral lists this long non-coding RNA (1578 nucleotides) under Neogobius melanostomus (round goby). RNAcentral describes it as "lncRNA (ENSNMLG00000000028.1)". The record is from RNAcentral. Lineage: Eukaryota; Metazoa; Chordata; Actinopteri; Gobiiformes; Gobiidae.